AGAGGAAGGAGAAGGCCCGCUGGCGCAGCUCCCGCAGAAGACACCACGCCGAGAUUCUCGCGGUAGAGAACGUCCUCCGCAUCGAAUCGGUGAGCUACUGUCGGCAGCACAGGCAAGGAGUGGUCCAAAAGCAGACAUUGAUGGCCCUGCUUGCAGCGCUUCAGUAUCCAUACGACAAGAAAAUAUACCUGGACAUCGACAUCAUCAGCUCACUUG
This 216-nucleotide long non-coding RNA is filed under the name Dermacentor andersoni. RNAcentral's name for it is "uncharacterized LOC126530286". The record is from RNAcentral. Lineage: Eukaryota; Metazoa; Arthropoda; Arachnida; Ixodida; Ixodidae.